Molecule: ribosomal RNA, 292 nt
Filed under: uncultured bacterium
Lineage: Bacteria
Description: partial 16S ribosomal RNA
Rfam family: Bacterial small subunit ribosomal RNA
Source: RNAcentral
GUGCCAGCAGCCGCGGUAAUACGAAGGGGGCUAGCGUUGCUCGGAUUUACUGGGCGUAAAGGGCGCGUAGGCGGACGAUUUAGUCAGAGGUGAAAGCCCGGGGCUCAACCCCGGAAUUGCCUUUGAUACUGGUCGUCUUGAGUUUGGGAGAGGUAUGCGGAACUCCGAGUGUAGAGGUGAAAUUCGUAGAUAUUCGGAAGAACACCAGUGGCGAAGGCGGCAUACUGGCCCAAUACUGACGCUGAGGCGCGAAAGCGUGGGGAGCAAACAGGAUUAGAAACCCUCGUAGUCC